CACGGCCCAGACUCCUACGGGAGGCAGCAGUAGGGAAUCUUCCGCAAUGGACGAAAGUCUGACGGAGCAACGCCGCGUGAGUGAUGAAGGUUUUCGGAUCGUAAAGCUCUGUUGUUAGGGAAGAACAAGUGCCGUUCAAAUAGGGCGGCACCUUGACGGUACCUAACCAGAAAGCCACGGCUAACUACGUGCCAGCAGCCGCGGUAAUACGUAGGUGGCAAGCGUUGUCCGGAAUUAUUGGGCGUAAAGGGCUCGCAGGCGGUUUCUUAAGUCUGAUGUGAAAGCCCCCGGCUCAACCGGGGAGGGUCAUUGGAAACUGGGGAACUUGAGUGCAGAAGAGGAGAGUGGAAUUCCACGUGUAGCGGUGAAAUGCGUAGAGAUGUGGAGGAACACCAGUGGCGAAGGCGACUCUCUGGUCUGUAACUGACGCUGAGGAGCGAAAGCGUGGGGAGCGAACAGGAUUUGAUACCCUGGUAGUCCACGCCGUAAACGAUGAGUGCUAAGUGUUAGGGGGUUUCCGCCCCUUAGUGCUGCAGCUAACGCAUUAAGCACUCCGCCUGGGGAGUACGGUCGCAAGACUGAAACUCAAAGGAAUUGACGGGGGCCCGCACAAGCGGUGGAGCAUGUGGUUUAAUUCGAAGCAACGCGAAGAACCUUACCAGGUCUUGACAUCCUCUGACAAUCCUAGAGAUAGGACGUCCCCUUCGGGGGCAGAGUGACAGGUGGUGCAUGGUUGUCGUCAGCUCGUGUCGUGAGAUGUUGGGUU
Molecule: ribosomal RNA, 766 nt
Filed under: Bacillus subtilis
Lineage: Bacteria; Bacillati; Bacillota; Bacilli; Caryophanales; Bacillaceae
Description: bacterial SSU rRNA
Rfam family: Bacterial small subunit ribosomal RNA
Source: RNAcentral